CUUCAGUCAGUCCUGUCUGUGUCCCUGCUGCUGGGGAGACCUACAGUGUAUUGUGCAUUGUAUAAGAGUUGAUUACAUGUAGUUUUUGUGGCUCGCCCAAGACAGGCAAAGUGGAUAUUAACAAAAGCAGCAUGAAGACACACUCACCAAUGAUGUGUUGGAAAAAAGCAGUACUGCUCGUCCUACAGUAACUCCCAUGACAUCUGAUGAUGAUGACGCUGCGGAAGCAGGUCCAUCAAAAGAAGUCUGGAGCAGCAGAAGUCGGACUUCUGUAACACACCACCAAAAAAAACAUGUGGCAGCAAAGAAAGCAAGGUCUGAUGUCGAGGGCCAACCACAGCAGGCUACCCCGCCACGAAGAUUAUCGACAGUAUGUUCGGUCCCCUCACUCCAAAUUUUGGACACAACUCCAAGACGUGAACCACACUCCCCUCAUCUUGAUUCUUCUAGUCCUGGUAACAGCAUCCCUCCGCAACAACAGCAACACAGUGACAUGGAUGAGACAAUCAUGUUAGAAAUGCAGCCAUUAAGCCAAGGAAUCAGGCCCCCAGCACCUGUGAGUACACCACCACAACACAGCCCAACCACACCAGUAACACAAGGCCCUGAUCACGUGUUUUGGAGCAUUUGGGCUAGACAGCAGGCCACUAAUGAAGAUUGCCUGCGUAGGCAGACACAAAUGUUUGCAAGCCUACCAUGUCACCUCAGAAGAAUAACCAGAAAUAUGAGUAGACAAAAUGAACAAACCACGAGAAUUGGCAAUACCAUGGAACUCAUGCGUGCAGACAUUACACAGGUCAUGGGCAACUUACAGCGCAUAAUGGAAGAACAGCACAGACUAAUGGAAGAACAGCACAGACAACAGCAAAGCUAUAUGAACAUUUUUCAAAACAAUCAAAAGAUAAAUUAAUCUUUAUUCCAAAUUGUAGACAAUCAAAAUGCUGCUACACGUGAACUCAAUGCCACCCUCACUAACCUCAAUGAAACA
Pseudophryne corroboree (corroboree frog) is the source of this 988-nucleotide long non-coding RNA. RefSeq lists it as uncharacterized. NCBI's taxonomy places the organism in Eukaryota, Metazoa, Chordata, Amphibia, Anura, Myobatrachidae. The transcript has 4 exons. The record is from RefSeq and is a predicted model, not a curated record.